GGGGCUGUAGUAUAGCUAGGUAGAAUUGGCCCUUGGGGUGGGUCCGGCCCGUGUUCGAACUGUUGCAAGAAAACUUGCGCACGCAUGUCACGGCAGCCCCA
This 101-nucleotide transfer RNA is filed under the name Candidatus Woesearchaeota archaeon. Its description in RNAcentral is "tRNA-Pro". Lineage: Archaea; Nanobdellati; Candidatus Woesearchaeota. The record is from RNAcentral.